Molecule: long non-coding RNA, 332 nt
Filed under: Sorghum bicolor (sorghum)
Lineage: Eukaryota; Viridiplantae; Streptophyta; Magnoliopsida; Poales; Poaceae
Description: long non-coding RNA (SBIC_LNC009619)
Source: RNAcentral
GGAAGAGGAGGAAUACUAGGUCGCCGGCGGCUGGCUGACUGACCGUGAGGAAGUUGCCGCAGUUCUGCCCCUGCGCCCGGAAGUAGUUGUUGGUCUGGCUGCCGCGGACGCCGGCCGGGAUCCCCUUCUGCUUCUCGCCGUCUACGGUUGCCGCCGGCGUCGGCGCCGCCGCAGCAGCCGCAGGUUGCUGCGCCCUCUGCUCCACCGCCGCGGGGGUCGGCUUGGCGGGCGCCGCGGCGGGCUCGUCGCCACCGCCGCCGAAGAGGUAGCUCAGCGAGCUCUGCCCGCCGCCGUAGCUGACGCCCCUGCCGCGGCCCAUCCUCCGCCUCCUC